Molecule: ribosomal RNA, 253 nt
Filed under: uncultured bacterium
Lineage: Bacteria
Description: partial 16S ribosomal RNA
Rfam family: Bacterial small subunit ribosomal RNA
Source: RNAcentral
UACGUAGGGCGCAAGCGUUAUCCGGAAUUAUUGGGCGUAAAGAGCUCGUAGCCGGUUUGUCGCGUCUGCCGUGAAAGUCCGGGGCUCAACUCCGGAUCUGCGGUGGGUACGGGCAGACUAGAGUGAUGUAGGGGAGACUGGAAUUCCUGGUGUAGCGGUGAAAUGCGCAGAUAUCAGGAGGAACACCGAUGGCGAAGGCAGGUCUCUGGGCAUUAACUGACGCUGAGGAGCGAAAGCAUGGGGAGCGAACAGG